GGGGGAGGCUUACCAUGCAGUCGAGCGAGCGCCUGCGCGUGAUCCCUCGGAAGGAAGCGCGUAUGACUGAGUGGCGGACGGGUGAGUCACGCGUGGGCAACCUGCCUCGUGCCGGGGGACAACAGCCGGAAACGGCUGCUAAUACCGCAUGAUACGGGAGGGCCGCAUGGCCCUGCGGGGAAAGCUCCGGCGGCGCGGAAGGGGCCCGCGCCGGAUUAGUUUGUUGGCGGGGUAACGGCCCACCAAGACUGCGAUCAGCAGCCGACCUGAGAGGGCGACCGGCCACAUUGGGACUGAGACACGGCCCAGACUCCUGCGGGAGGCAGCAGUGGGGAAUAUUGCACAAUGGGGGAAACCCUGAUGCAGCGACGCCGCGUGAGCGACGAAGCACUCCGGCGCGUAAAGCCCUGUUCAGCAGGGAAGAAAAUGAACGGUACUGGAUCAAAAACCCCCGGUUAAUUACUGGCCACCACCCCCGGAAUUACUUAGGGGGCAGGCGUUAUCCGAAUUCCCGGGUGGUAAGGGAACCUCAAGCGGCACUCCAACUCUGGGGUGAAACCCGGGGCUCCACCCCCGGAACGGCUUUGGAACUGGGCGGCCUGAAUGGCCGAAAGGCUAAGCGAAUUUCCUGUGGUAACGGGAAAUGCGCAGAUAUCANGAAGAACACCGGUGGCGUANGCGGCUGCUGGACGAUGACUGACGCUGAGGCUCGAAAGCGUGGGGAGCANACAGGAUUAGAUACCCUGGUAGUCCACGCCGUANACGAUGACUACUCAGGUGUCGGCUGGNCAAGCCAUUCGGUGCCGCAGCUAACGCAAUAAGUAGUCCACCUGGGGAGUACGUUCGCAAGAAUGAAACUCAAAGGAAUUGACGGGGAACCGCACAAGCGGUGAAGCAUGU
Molecule: ribosomal RNA, 900 nt
Filed under: uncultured bacterium
Lineage: Bacteria
Description: bacterial SSU rRNA
Rfam family: Bacterial small subunit ribosomal RNA
Source: RNAcentral